GGUUACUGCUAUCGAGGUUCGACUAAGCCAUGCGAGUCGAAUGUAGCAAUACAUGGCGUACUGCUCAGUAACACGUGGACAACCUACCCUUAGGACGGGGAUAAACCCGGGAAACUGGGUAUAAUACCCGAUAGUCCUCGAAUGCUGGAAUGCGUCGCGGACUAAAGCUCCGGCGCCUAAGGAUGGGUCUGCGGCCUAUCAGGUAGUAGUGGGUGUAGCGUACCUACUAGCCAACGACGGGUACGGGUUGUGAGAGCAAGAGCCCGGAGAUGGAUUCUGAGACACGAAUCCAGGCCCUACGGGGUGCAGCAGGCGCGAAAACUUUACAAUGCUGGAAACAGCGAUAAGGGGACCUCGAGUGCCAGGUUACAAAUCUGGCUGUCGUGAUGCCUAAAAAGCAUUGCAUACAAGGGCCGGGCAAGACCGGUGCCAGCCGCCGCGGUAACACCGGCGGCUCGAGUGGUAACCGUUAUUAUUGGGUCUAAAGGGUCUGUAGCCGGCCGGAUAAGUCUCUUGGGAAAUCUGGCAGCUUAACUGUCAGGCUUUCAGGAGAUACUGUCUGGCUCGAGGCCGGGAGAGGUGAGAGGUACUUCAGGGGUAGGGGUGAAAUCUUGUAAUCCUUGAAGGACCACC
RNAcentral lists this ribosomal RNA (633 nucleotides) under uncultured archaeon. RNAcentral's name for it is "bacterial SSU rRNA". It matches the Rfam family "Archaeal small subunit ribosomal RNA", at positions 21 to 661 of the family's 1478-position model. The record is from RNAcentral.